This 433-nucleotide ribosomal RNA is filed under the name uncultured bacterium. Its description in RNAcentral is "partial 16S ribosomal RNA". It matches the Rfam family "Bacterial small subunit ribosomal RNA", at positions 29 to 507 of the family's 1533-position model. The record is from RNAcentral.
AGCGAACGCUGGCGGCAGGCCUAACACAUGCAAGUCGAACGAACUCUUCGGAGUUAGUGGCGGACGGGUGAGUAACACGUGGGAACGUGCCUUUUGGUUCGGAAUAACUCAGGGAAACUUGUGCUAAUACCGAAUGUGCCCUUCGGGGGAAAGAUUUAUCGCCUUUAGAUCGGCCCGCGUCUGAUUAGCUAGUUGGUGGGGUAACGGCUCACCAAGGCGACGAUCAGUAGCUGGUCUGAGAGGAUGACCAGCCACACUGGGACUGAGACACGGCCCAGACUCCUACGGGAGGCAGCAGUGGGGAAUCUUGCGCAAUGGGCGAAAGCCUGACGCAGCCAUGCCGCGUGAAUGAUGAAGGUCUUAGGAUUGUAAAAUUCUUUCACCGGGGACGAUAAUGACGGUACCCGGAGAAGAAGCCCCGGCUAACUUCGUG